This 301-nucleotide small RNA is filed under the name Macaca mulatta (Rhesus monkey). RNAcentral's name for it is "Metazoan signal recognition particle RNA (ENSMMUG00000055087.1)". The record is from RNAcentral. Lineage: Eukaryota; Metazoa; Chordata; Mammalia; Primates; Cercopithecidae.
GCUGGGUAUGGUGGCGGGCGCCUGUAGUCCCAGUCACUCGGGAGGCUGAGGCAGGAGAAUGGCGUGAACCUGGGAGGCAGAGCUUGCAGUGAGCUGAGAUCGCGCCACCUGUACUCCAGCCUGGGCAACAGAGUGAGACUCCAGUUCAAAAAAAAAAAAAAAAAAAACAGAGAAAGGGACGUUCUUUUUUUUUUUUUUUUGAGACGGAGUCUCGCUCUGUCACCCAGGCUGGAGUGCAGUGGCCGGAUCUCAGCUCACUGCAAGCUCCGCCUCCCGGGUUCACGCCAUUCUCCUGCCUCAG